This 331-nucleotide ribosomal RNA is filed under the name uncultured Pelagibacterales bacterium. RNAcentral's name for it is "bacterial SSU rRNA". It matches the Rfam family "Bacterial small subunit ribosomal RNA", at positions 390 to 738 of the family's 1533-position model. Lineage: Bacteria; Pseudomonadati; Pseudomonadota; Alphaproteobacteria; Candidatus Pelagibacterales. The record is from RNAcentral.
AGCGAUGCCGCGUGAGUGAAGAAGGCCUUUGGGUUGUAAAGCUCUUUCGUCGGGGAAGAAAAUGACUGUACCCGAAUAAGAAGGUCCGGCUAACUUCGUGCCAGCAGCCGCGGUAAUACGAAGGGACCUAGCGUAGUUCGGAAUUACUGGGCUUAAAGAGUUCGUAGGUGGUUAAAAAAGUUGGUGGUGAAAUCCCAAAGCUUAACUCUGGAACUGCCAUCAAAACUUUUUAGCUAGAGUAUGAUAGAGGAAAGCAGAAUUUCUAGUGUAGAGGUGAAAUUCGUAGAUAUUAGAAAGAAUACCAAUUGCGAAGGCAGCUUUCUGGAUCAUU